This 891-nucleotide ribosomal RNA is filed under the name uncultured bacterium. RNAcentral's name for it is "bacterial SSU rRNA". It matches the Rfam family "Bacterial small subunit ribosomal RNA", at positions 1 to 871 of the family's 1533-position model. The record is from RNAcentral.
UUUAGAGUUUGAUUCUGGUUCCAGAAGAAACGCUGCGGGCAUGCCUUAUACAAGCAAGUCGAACGAUGACUUUCAUUUAGUUUAUUAGAUGAAUUGAUUAGUGGCGAACGGGUGAGUAACACGUGGGGAAUCUGCCCAUGAGUGGGGGAUAACAUUCGGAAACGAAUGCUAAUACCGCAUAUAUCUUUAGACCGCAUGGUCUUUAGAAGAAAGACGGCUUCGGCUGUCGCUCAUGGAUGAUCNCGCGGCGUAUUAGUUAGUUGGUGGGGUAAAGGCCUACCAAGACAAUGAUACGUAGCCGACCUGAGAGGGUGAUCGGCCACACUGGGACUGAGACACGGCCCAGACUCCUACGGGAGGCAGCAGUAGGGAAUCUUCCACAAUGGGUGCAAACCUGAUGGAGCAAUGCCGCGUGAAUGAAGAAGGUCUUCGGAUCGUAAAGUUCUGUUAUUAGAGAAGAACAAGUCAAGGAGUAACUGUCUUGACUUUGACGGUACCUAACCAGAAAGUCACGGCUAACUACGUGCCAGCAGCCGCGGUAAUACGUAGGUGACAAGCGUUGUCUGGAAUUAUUGGGCGUAAAGGGAGCGCAGGCGGUUGGAAUAGUCUGAUGUGAAAGCCCACGGCUUAACCGUGGAAGGUCAUUGGAAACUGUCCAACUUGAAUACAGAAGAGGUAAGUGGAAUUCCAAGUGUAGCGGUGAAAUGCGUAGAUAUUUGGAGGAACACCAGUGGCGAAGGCGACUUACUGGUCUGUAAUUGACGCUGAGGCUCGAAAGCGUGGGUAGCAAACAGGAUUAGAUACCCUGGUAGUCCACGCCGUAAACGAUGAGUGCUAAGUGUUAGGGGGUUUCCGCCCCUUAGUGCUGGAGUUAACGCAUAAGCCACUCCG